GGCGCCGUGGCUUAGUUGGUUAAAGCACCUCUCUAGUAAACAGGAGAUCACUAGUUAGAAUUUUGUCGGUGCCC
RNAcentral lists this transfer RNA (74 nucleotides) under Caerostris darwini. RNAcentral describes it as "tRNA-Thr". It matches the Rfam family "tRNA". Rfam says of the family: Transfer RNA (tRNA) molecules are approximately 80 nucleotides in length. Their secondary structure includes four short double-helical elements and three loops (D, anti-codon, and T loops). Lineage: Eukaryota; Metazoa; Arthropoda; Arachnida; Araneae; Araneidae. The record is from RNAcentral.